This 497-nucleotide ribosomal RNA is filed under the name uncultured bacterium. Its description in RNAcentral is "partial 16S ribosomal RNA". It matches the Rfam family "Bacterial small subunit ribosomal RNA", at positions 28 to 507 of the family's 1533-position model. The record is from RNAcentral.
GAUGAACGCUGGCGGCGUGCCUAAUACAUGCAAGUCGAGCGAACAGACGAUGAGCUUGCUCCUCUGACGUUAGCGGCGGACGGGUGAGUAACACGUGGAUAACCUACCUAUAAGACUGGGAUAACUUCGGGAAACCGGAGCUAAUACCGGAUAAUAUAUUGAACCGCAUGGUUCAAUAGUGAAAGACGGUUUUGCUGUCACUUAUAGAUGGAUCCGCGCCGCAUUAGCUAGUUGGUAAGGUAACGGCUUACCAAGGCAACGAUGCGUAGCCGACCUGAGAGGGUGAUCGGCCACACUGGAACUGAGACACGGUCCUGACUCCUACGGGAGGCAGCAGUAGGGAAUCUUCCGCAAUGGGCGAAAGCCUGACGGAGCAACGCCGCGUGAGUGAUGAAGGUCUUCGGAUCGUAAAACUCUGUUAUUAGGGAAGAACAAAUGUGUAAGUAACUAUGCACGUCUUGACGGUACCUAAUCAGAAAGCCACGGCUAACUACGUG